AGAGUUUGAUCCUGGCUCAGGAUGAACGCUGGCGGCGUGCUUAAUACAUGCAAGUCGAGCGAAUGAUGAGGAGCUUGUUCCUCUGAUUUAGCGGCGGACGGGUGAGUAACACGUGGGUAAUCUCCCUGUAAGACGGGGAUAAUUCCGGGAAACCGGGGCUAAUCCCGGAUAAUAAGAGAAGAAGCAUUUCUUCUUUUUGAAAUGUCGGUUUCGGCUGACACUUACAGAUGAGCCCGCGGCGCAUUAGCUAGUUGGUGAGGUAACGGCUCACCAAGGCGACGAUGCGUAGCCGACCUGAGAGGGUGAUCGGCCACACUGGGACUGAGACACGGCCCAGACUCCUACGGGAGGCAGCAGUAGGGAAUCUUCGGCAAUGGGCGAAAGCCUGACCGAGCAACGCCGCGUGAGCGAUGAAGGCCUUCGGGUCGUAAAGCUCUGUUGUUAGAGAAGAACAAGUACGAGAGUAACUGCUCGUACCUUGACGGUACCUAACCAGAAAGCCACG
This 505-nucleotide ribosomal RNA is filed under the name Bacillus sp. B2-145. RNAcentral's name for it is "bacterial SSU rRNA". It matches the Rfam family "Bacterial small subunit ribosomal RNA", at positions 8 to 495 of the family's 1533-position model. The record is from RNAcentral. Lineage: Bacteria; Bacillati; Bacillota; Bacilli; Caryophanales; Bacillaceae.